Phyllostomus discolor (pale spear-nosed bat) is the source of this 302-nucleotide long non-coding RNA. RefSeq lists it as uncharacterized. Lineage: Eukaryota; Metazoa; Chordata; Mammalia; Chiroptera; Phyllostomidae. The record is from RefSeq and is a predicted model, not a curated record. The transcript has 3 exons.
AUGGGAGGGCAAGACUAAAGAUGCCUGCCUUGGAAGAUGGACAAAUCCCAGAGGUGUGUUGGAGUUUGACACCCACACCCUGGUACUCUUGCCCUGUUUCACAUUUGAACUGUUAAUGACUUUAGGAGAUUAUCAGUUCCUGAGGCCUGCUCAGCAGCAGGAUAUCCACACAGUGACCCUGUGAGGGGCACAUCGUUGUUUGUUCCUUCAAUCCUGAGACCAUUUGCUCUAAAGCUCAUGAAGGGGUGGCUCCUCAACCAGCACUCCCAACUCCAAAUUCAAGCUCACCCCACAAGCUUCCU